This is a long non-coding RNA of Zophobas morio, 558 nucleotides long. RefSeq lists it as uncharacterized. The transcript has 2 exons. Lineage: Eukaryota; Metazoa; Arthropoda; Insecta; Coleoptera; Tenebrionidae. The record is from RefSeq and is a predicted model, not a curated record.
GCCAUAACUGUUAUAACCUGUGGGUUCAGAUGUUCUUUCUUUUCGCAACCCUGACAUGAAACAAUGAAAAUAAAACUUUAAAACACAAUGGUCCGAGUAGUGGUCAACACGUGGGUGCUCAACGUCCACAUGUUGGUAAAUAUAGAUAGAUCUACGUGGUACAUUUACUUCAGGUAAACCAAAACUACAAUUGUAAUUUCAAGCUUUCAAAGGUAACAGACACGUGGAACUAAGAACUGAAUGAACCAGCUGGUAAAUUUUGUCCAUCGUGGUCCACCAUAAGAAAAAGUGAUGUUGUAAAUUUGGUAACAUCUUUUUUCUUAUGAUAAAUCACGGCAUGGCUUCAAGAUAUUACAUGUUAUUGUUUUUACGCACAAGUCUACGAUCAGAGUUUACCCACUUUGGUCUAUCAUAAGAAAAAGCGAUGUUGUAACUAUGAUAACAUCCUUUUUCUUAUGAUAAAUCACGGCAUGGCUUCAACAGAAAAAUUCAAGAGAAGAAAUUACAAAACUGACUGCAAUUUUGUUCCUUGUUGACAAUUUUCAAUAAAAUCUUGUU